This 148-nucleotide small RNA is filed under the name Macaca fascicularis (crab-eating macaque). Its description in RNAcentral is "Metazoan signal recognition particle RNA (ENSMFAG00000063487.1)". The record is from Rfam by way of RNAcentral. Lineage: Eukaryota; Metazoa; Chordata; Mammalia; Primates; Cercopithecidae.
GCUGGGUGUGGUGCUGGGCGCCUGUAAUCCCAGCUGCUCGGGAGGCUGAGACAGGAGAAUUGCUUGAACCUGGGAGGCGGAGGUUGCAGUGAGCCAAGAUCAUGCCACUGUAUUCCAGCCUGGGUGACAAAGCAAGAUUCUGUCUCAA